This 762-nucleotide ribosomal RNA is filed under the name uncultured bacterium. Its description in RNAcentral is "bacterial SSU rRNA". It matches the Rfam family "Bacterial small subunit ribosomal RNA", at positions 558 to 1341 of the family's 1533-position model. The record is from RNAcentral.
GCGUAAAGCGUCUGCAGGUGGUUUCUUAAGUCUACUGUUAAAUCUUGAGGCUCAACCUCAAAUCUGCAGUAGAAACUAGGAGACUUGAGUAUAGUAGGGGUAGAGGGAAUUCCAGUGGAGCGGUGAAAUGCGUAGAUAUUGGAAAGAACACCGAUGGCGAAGGCACUCUACUGGGCUAUUACUGACACUCAGAGACGAAAGCUAGGGGAGCAAAUGGGAUUAGAUACCCCAGUAGUCCUAGCCGUAAACGAUGGAUACUCGAUGUUGGACGUAUCGACCCGUUCAGUAUCUUAGCUAACGCGUUAAGUAUCCCGCCUGGGGAGUACGCUCGCGAGAGUGAAACUCAAAGGAAUUGACGGGGGCCCGCACAAGCGGUGGAGGAUGUGGUUUAAUUCGAUGCAACGCGAAGAACCUUACCAGGGUUUGCUAGAAGUGUUGGUUUUCUGAAAAGAAUUCCUUAUUCCGCUUCUACAGGUGGUGCAUGGCUGUCGUCAGCUCGUGUCGUGAGAUGUUGGGUUAAGUCCCGCAACGAGCGCAACCCUUAUUUUUAGUUCUAUUGUCUAGAAAGACUGCCGGUGACAAACCGGAGGAAGGUGAGGACGACGUCAAGUCAUCAUGCCCCUUACACCCUGGGCUACACACGUCCUACAAUGGGUAAGACAAUAAGUUGCAAAUUCGCGAGAAUAAGCUAAUCUUUGAAACUUACUCCAAGUACAGAUUGCAGGCUGCAACUCGCCUGCAUGAAGGUGGAAUCGCUAGUAA